GCCUCGCUAGCUCAAUCGGUAGAGCGUGAGACUCUUACAUCCCCUUGUAUAAUCUCAAGGUUGCGGGUUCGACCCCCGCGUGGGGCU
Ramaria rubella is the source of this 87-nucleotide non-coding RNA. Lineage: Eukaryota; Fungi; Basidiomycota; Agaricomycetes; Gomphales; Gomphaceae. The record is from the annotation of a GenBank genome assembly.